Molecule: ribosomal RNA, 496 nt
Filed under: uncultured bacterium
Lineage: Bacteria
Description: bacterial SSU rRNA
Rfam family: Bacterial small subunit ribosomal RNA
Source: RNAcentral
AACGAACGUUGGCGGCGUGGAUUAGGCAUGCAAGUCGAGCGAGGAAAGGGGAGCAAUCCCUGAGUAAAGCGGCGAACUGGUGAGUAACAGGUGGGUAAUGUACCUUUCAGUGGGGGAUAACACUUGGAAACAGGUGCUAAUACCGCAUACGGUUGCGAGGGAUGCGUCCCUUUUGCCAAAGGUGCCAUAGCAAUGUGGUGUCGCUGAAAGAUCAGCCCGCCCUGAUUAGCUAGUUGGUAGGGUAACGGCCUACCAAGGCUUCGAUCAGUAGCUGGUCUGAGAGGAUGGUCAGCCACACUGGGACUGAGAUACCGGCCCAGACUCCUACGGGAGGCAGCAGUCUAGAGGCUUCGGCAAGUGGGGAAACCCUGACCGAGCGACGCCGCGUGCGGGAUGAAGGUCGUGAGAUUGUAAACCGCUGUCGGCGGGGAAUAAGGCCCGAAUGGCGAAUUCGGGAUUGACGGUACCCGCAGAGGAAGCCCCGGCUAACUCCGUG